GCGAAGAGUACUUAGCAUGCUUGAAGGUGACCGCUGAUCAACAGCGUGGAAUCAGGCGAUUAAUAUUCACAGAACACGCCUGUGCCCAGUGACAUGAUUGUAAAACAUUCUGGAAGAAAACCUUGUGGUGCUUUCUGGGAGCGGUCUAUGCAACGGUCUCUUUCAAUUUUAAAUUGAGCUUCAGGGAAGAUUAAAUACUCAGGAGGAAGAUGAGCCGGGGCUGGUAAACAGACAGCAGCGCUGGCUGGUCUCACCAGGUGAAACGGCUCUAUCCCCUCCACACUCACUGCCCACAUCUAGAGCUGUGUCACCACCAUCUAUACCUUCGUUCAAUCAAAGGAGACAAAUAAAAAUAACUGCACUUACCUUUCGCAUUAUGAGUCAUUCAAACAAUAGACUAGGGGUGUGAAGGGCAUUUUAGUCAAAUGUACUGAGGACAAAAUACGAUUCAGGGAUGAAAACAAGUAUUUUAUAAUUUGGCAAAUCUCUGUUGUUCUAAGUGACACCACGUAGCUGCAUCAUGAAAAUAAGUGGCACAAAGUCCUGCCAGGUGGUUCAGCAGAACUCCUUCCCAACCUCUGCACGCACACUUGAUAAUUACGCCUCAUUCAACCUCCUCCUCUCUUCAAAGUUCCUUUCAGAAAUGGUCAGCAGGGAAAUCAAUUUCCAGAAUUAGGCCUUUAGUUAUUAACCACAGGGUGGAUUCUCAUACGUGUAAGAUGGUUAAUACACUGCUCUCCUUGAAGCCUAGUAGAUUCCUCUAAUUCUAUAAAGAUCAGAUUUAAAAAUGUUUUCCUCUAAUAAAUCUCUAUUUUCAGAAAGCACUGCAAAUCUUGUUUGAUCCAGCAAUGAAGAAAAAGUCAGGAACAAA
Equus caballus (horse) is the source of this 871-nucleotide non-coding RNA. The record is from RefSeq and is a predicted model, not a curated record. NCBI's taxonomy places the organism in Eukaryota, Metazoa, Chordata, Mammalia, Perissodactyla, Equidae.